CCUACGGGUGGCAGCAGUAGGGAAUCUUUCACAAUGGGCGAAAGCCUGAUGGAGCAACGCCGCGUGCAGGAUGAAGGCCUUCGGGUUGUAAACUGCUUUUAUAAGCGAGAAAUAUGAUGGUAACUUAUGAAUCAGGAUCGGCUAACUACGUGCCAGCCGCCGCGGUCAUACGUAGGAUCCGAGCAUUAUCCGGAGUGACUGGGUGUAAAGAGUUGCGUAGGUGGCAUAAUAAGUAGCUAGUGAAAUCUGGUGGCUCAACCAUUCAGACUAUUAGCUAAACUGUUAAGCUCGAGACCGUUAGGGGUAACUGGAAUUUCUAGUGUAGGAGUGAAAUCCGUAGAUAUUAGAAGGAACACCAAUAGCGUAGGCAGGUUGCUGGGACGGGUCUGACACUAAGGCACGAAAGCGUAGGGAGCAAACGGGAUUAGAUACCCUAGUAGUC
RNAcentral lists this ribosomal RNA (442 nucleotides) under uncultured bacterium. Its description in RNAcentral is "partial 16S ribosomal RNA". It matches the Rfam family "Bacterial small subunit ribosomal RNA", at positions 338 to 795 of the family's 1533-position model. The record is from RNAcentral.